UACGUAGGGGGCUAGCGUUGUCCGGAAUCAUUGGGCGUAAAGAGCGUGUAGGCGGCUCGGUAAGUCCGCUGUGAAAGUCCAGGGCUCAACCCUGGAAUGCCAGUGGAAACUGUCGAGCUAGAGUCCGGAAGAGGCGAGUGGAAUUCCUGGUGUAGCGGUGAAAUGCGCAGAUAUCAGGAGGAACACCAAUGGCGAAGGCAGUACUCUGGGACGUGACUGACGCUGAGACGCGAAAGCGUGGGGAGCAAACAGG
RNAcentral lists this ribosomal RNA (253 nucleotides) under uncultured bacterium. RNAcentral's name for it is "partial 16S ribosomal RNA". It matches the Rfam family "Bacterial small subunit ribosomal RNA", at positions 524 to 776 of the family's 1533-position model. The record is from RNAcentral.